Ricinus communis (castor bean) is the source of this 1764-nucleotide long non-coding RNA. RefSeq lists it as uncharacterized. Lineage: Eukaryota; Viridiplantae; Streptophyta; Magnoliopsida; Malpighiales; Euphorbiaceae. The record is from RefSeq and is a predicted model, not a curated record. The transcript is spliced from 3 exons.
GAAAGAAAAGAAAGAAGAAGAAGAAGAAGAAGAAGGGAGGAGGAAGAAGAGGAGAGGGGGGACGUCGGCUUCCAUGGGGGACGGGCGCUAGAGGCCCCGCCGAGGGUGGCAUCGACGUCGGAAGGUGCGGCCGUCAACAGCGAGCACGCUAGGGGCGGCGACGGCGGCGAAUGGCGACGACAGGCAGCGUAGAAUGGCUAGUAAUGGCAGCCGGUUUCUUGCCGCCAUUCAUGGCGUUUCCGGCAUCCAUUGCUGGUGAUUUUGGACUCAAAAUGAUUAGCAGCUUCGAGGCUUUCUUUUCCGACCAUCGCCACCCUUUGAGGCUGCCGGAAUUGCAAGAUCCGGCGAAGUGAAAAGUUAGGGGCAGCCGGCAUUUUCUAGCUUUUCCUAUGAGCUCCGGCGAGCUUUGGUUGAUCUGAGGGCAUAUCCGGACUCUCCUCAGCUCAAGCUUUUCGAUGGUACCGGUUUUGUGGCGAUCGGACUCCGUUUGAAAAUCGACGGUCGAGAUCGUCUGAAAAUCUCUCCAGAUGAUCAAGGUUCGGAUCGGAAGAUCGGAAGCGGGGAUCGUCAUCAGUGUGUCGUUUCGAGUAAGUUGGUGCGUUCGGAUUGUCGAUCGGACUCCAGCGGCUGGAGGCGAGUCGAUCGAGCGGUCAAGCGUCUCGGUCCUGGACCCGUUUUACGAGGGGUAAAUGUCCAUAUUUUAGGGGAGGUUCUGCCGAAUUUUCGGUAAAAUUUACCAGAGUCGAGAUUUUUGGAUAGUCAGUCCUAGGGAUCUAAACCUAGGGUUAAUUGUCAAAUGAUUCAACGUUAUUGAUCAAUUGUUUUCCGUGAGUAGAUAAUCUGUCAGUUCGGCUCACUCAACCCGAAACAUCAGAGCAGAGCUAGGAAGUCGUCAAAGCUAUCUGUGAUUGUUAGUUCUCCCGCGGCUCUUAUCUAGUAACCCAACUCCCUCGUUGUCGGGUGAUGUAUUUGAUUUGGUAUGUUUCACUUGUAAAAUUUUAGAUUCUCCGCAGUAGAAGUAAUAGACUUAUCAGUUGUAAUUUUAUGUAGUUUCGCGUCUUGCCUAAUUCUUCUGGCAGACCGAAUUUAAUGGUUAAGAAAUUGUGACAUCAGCGUUAUUAGAGGAGAUUUAAUUAAGUUAGUGAGUGGUCAGGUUUACUAUAGGAUUCGGUGGCCUUACGCCUAUCCAUUCUCUAGUGCCGGUCACGGGCCCACAGAUCGGGUCGUGACACCCAGACAGUUGAUAAUUUCAUUCUUCAAAUUGGGAUUGAUGUGGUUACUGAAAAAGGCAUUAGAUUUUCGGAGAUUAAGACUUUGACCCGAGGCAUUCCUAAUAUAGUCUCAGAAUAUCAAGAAAGUUUUUAGCUUCCUCAACCGAGGCAACCCCAUACAAAAUUGUCUCCUUAGCGAACAAAGAACUGGCAAUGGGCAAUACUUGUUCAACUCAAUCCCUUUAAUCUUAUCAUCAUUCGCAAAGGCUUGGAUUGUCUUGGAAAGAGCUUCAAAAACUAGAAGCAAAAGGUACGACGAUAAAGGAUAGCCUUGUCUUAAACCACGACCAAGAUUGAAGCUCUAUUUGGCAUAAAAGUUGGUCUUAAACCACGACCAACUUCAAGGCGUUGAUCAAAUGUUGUAAAUACAGGGGCAUCUAACAAUUUUAUUCUAAUGUAAUUAUGUACAACCAUUGAUGUCACAUUAAUAUCUCUUUCUCCGAACUCCAAAAUGUGCGCUCAAUACAAUUAAUAAGGCACGUAUCUCUUAUCA